UUGCUCCUUUGACGUUAGCGGCGGACGGGUGAGUAACACGUGGGCAACCUACCUUAUAGUUUGGGAUAACUCCGGGAAACCGGGGCUAAUACCGAAUAAUCUGUUUCACCUCAUGGUGAAAUAUUGAAAGACGGUUUCGGCUGUCGCUAUAGGAUGGGCCCGCGGCGCAUUAGCUAGUUGGUGAGGUAACGGCUCACCAAGGCGACGAUGCGUAGCCGACCUGAGAGGGUGAUCGGCCACACUGGGACUGAGACACGGCCCAGACUCCUACGGGAGGCAGCAGUAGGGAAUCUUCCACAAUGGGCGAAAGCCUGAUGGAGCAACGCCGCGUGAGUGAAGAAGGAUUUCGGUUCGUAAAACUCUGUUGUAAGGGAAGAACAAGUACAGUAGUAACUGGCUGUACCUUGACGGUACCUUAUUAGAAAGCCACGGCUAACUACGUGCCAGCAGCCGCGGUAAUACGUAGGUGGCAAGCGUUGUCCGGAAUUAUUGGGCGUAAAGCGCGCGCAGGUGGUUUCUUAAGUCUGAUGUGAAAGCCCACGGCUCAACCGUGGAGGGUCAUUGGAAACUGGGAGACUUGAGUGCAGAAGAGGAUAGUGGAAUUCCAAGUGUAGCGGUGAAAUGCGUAGAGAUUUGGAGGAACACCAGUGGCGAAGGCGACUAUCUGGUCUGUAACUGACACUGAGGCGCGAAAGCGUGGGGAGCAAACA
RNAcentral lists this ribosomal RNA (710 nucleotides) under Lysinibacillus fusiformis. RNAcentral's name for it is "bacterial SSU rRNA". It matches the Rfam family "Bacterial small subunit ribosomal RNA", at positions 80 to 774 of the family's 1533-position model. Lineage: Bacteria; Bacillati; Bacillota; Bacilli; Caryophanales; Bacillaceae. The record is from RNAcentral.